GAUGAACGCUGGCGGCGUGCCUAAUACAUGCAAGUCGAGCGAACAGACGAGGAGCUUGCUCCUCUGACGUUAGCGGCGGACGGGUGAGUAACACGUGGAUAACCUACCUAUAAGACUGGGAUAACUUCGGGAAACCGGAGCUAAUACCGGAUAACAUGUUGAACCGCAUGGUUCAACAGUGAAAGACGGUCUUGCUGUCACUUAUAGAUGGAUCCGCGCCGCAUUAGCUAGUUGGUAAGGUAACGGCUUACCAAGGCAACGAUGCGUAGCCGACCUGAGAGGGUGAUCGGCCACACUGGAACUGAGACACGGUCCAGACUCCUACGGGAGGCAGCAGUAGGGAAUCUUCCGCAAUGGGCGAAAGCCUGACGGAGCAACGCCGCGUGAGUGAUAAAGGUCUUCGGAUCGUAAAACUCUGUUAUUAGGGAAGAACAAAUGUGUAAGUAACUAUGCACGUCUUGACGGUACCUAAUCAGAAAGCCACGGCUAACUACGUG
Molecule: ribosomal RNA, 497 nt
Filed under: uncultured bacterium
Lineage: Bacteria
Description: partial 16S ribosomal RNA
Rfam family: Bacterial small subunit ribosomal RNA
Source: RNAcentral